UACGGGAGGCAGCAGUGGGGUAUAUUGCACAAUGGGCGCAAGCCUGAUGCAGCCAUACCGGGUGUAUGAAGAAGGCAUUGGGGUUGUAAAGUACUUUCAGCGGGGAGGAAGGGAGUAAAGUUAAUACCUGAGGUCAUUGACGUUACCCGCAAAAAAACCACCGGCUACAUCCGUGCCAGCAGCCGCGGUAAUACA
RNAcentral lists this ribosomal RNA (195 nucleotides) under uncultured Escherichia sp. RNAcentral's name for it is "partial 16S ribosomal RNA". It matches the Rfam family "Bacterial small subunit ribosomal RNA", at positions 340 to 527 of the family's 1533-position model. Lineage: Bacteria; Pseudomonadati; Pseudomonadota; Gammaproteobacteria; Enterobacterales; Enterobacteriaceae. The record is from RNAcentral.